GGCUUAUCAUGCAAGUCGAAGGGUAACAUGGUAGCAAUACUGAUGACGACUGGCGCACGGGUGCGUAACACGUGUGCAACCUACCUUUAACUGGAGCAUAGCCCCUCGAAAGAGGGAUUAAUACUCCAUAACAUAACGAAAAGGCAUCUUUUUGUUAUUAAACCUCCGGGGGUUAAAGAUGGGCACGCGUUGCAUUAGCUAGUUGGUGAGGUAAUGGCUCACCAAGGCUACGAUGCAUAGGGGUUCUGAGGGGAUAUACCCCCACACUGGUACUGAGACACGGACCAGACUCCUACGGGAGGCAGCAGUAGGGAAUAUUGGACAAUGGUGGCAACACUGAUCCAGCCAUGCCGCGUGCAGGAUGACGGCCCUAUGGGUUGUAAACUGCUUUUGUACGGGAAAAAACCCUUGUUCGUGAACAAGGCUGAUGGUACCGUAAGAAUAAGGAUCGACUAACUCCGUGCCAGCAGCCCGCGGUAAU
RNAcentral lists this ribosomal RNA (481 nucleotides) under uncultured Bacteroidota bacterium. Its description in RNAcentral is "bacterial SSU rRNA". It matches the Rfam family "Bacterial small subunit ribosomal RNA", at positions 45 to 524 of the family's 1533-position model. Lineage: Bacteria; Pseudomonadati; Bacteroidota. The record is from RNAcentral.